UACGGGGGGGGCAGGCGUUGUUCGGAAUUACUGGGCGUAAAGGGUUCGUAGGUGGCUGGCUAAGUCAGACGUGAAAUCCCUCAGCUCAACUGGGGAACUGCGUCUGAGACUGGUCAGCUUGAGUGCAGGAGAGGAACGCGGAAUUCCAGGUGUAGCGGUGAAAUGCGUAGAUAUCUGGAGGAACACCGGUGGCGAAGGCGGCGUUCUGGACUGCAACUGACACUGAGGAACGAAAGCCAGGGGAGCAAACGGG
RNAcentral lists this ribosomal RNA (253 nucleotides) under uncultured bacterium. RNAcentral's name for it is "partial 16S ribosomal RNA". It matches the Rfam family "Bacterial small subunit ribosomal RNA", at positions 524 to 776 of the family's 1533-position model. The record is from RNAcentral.